Molecule: transfer RNA, 91 nt
Filed under: Alphaproteobacteria bacterium
Lineage: Bacteria; Pseudomonadati; Pseudomonadota; Alphaproteobacteria
Description: tRNA-Ser
Rfam family: tRNA
About the family: Transfer RNA (tRNA) molecules are approximately 80 nucleotides in length.
Source: RNAcentral
AGAGAGGUGGCCGAGUGGUCGAAGGCGCUCCCCUGCUAAGGGAGUAUGCGUUCAUAGCGCAUCGAGGGUUCGAAUCCCUUCCUCUCUGCCA